GGCGACUAGGGCAAAGCCUGCAAGCUCGUGGAUCCCCUCUGUCUACCGCUCCGAUCGCCAAUGUCGAGGAGGAAAUCCUAGUGACUCAGCUUUGGCUAGUAGAUAGGCUAGAGUAUUAGUCCUCCCAGAGGUAGGCCCUCAGACUGAUGGCAGUGCUUCUUCUUUAGGUCAGUUUUCCAGGCUUCGAUCCUUCUCAAAUUCGUUCAUCGGGGUGGAUUAGACGGAUCUCUGACGUAGAUUCUUAUCGGCUCCCCGCCCAAGGAGGGGCUUGUGUCUAAUUAGCUAGUUGGUGAGGCGAUAGCUUACCAAGGCCCAGACUGUGAGUGAGACACGACCCUGACUCGUAUGGGAGGCGGCAAUGGAACAUUUUCCACAAUGAGCGAAAGCCCGACGGAGCAAUGCCGCGUGGAGGUGAAAGGUCUACGGGUCGUCAACUUCUUUUCUAGGAGUUGAAACCCUAACAAUAUCUAGGGAAUAAGCCCAAAGCGGCU
RNAcentral lists this non-coding RNA (491 nucleotides) under Triticum aestivum (bread wheat). RNAcentral's name for it is "Bacterial small subunit ribosomal RNA". The stretch from base 127 to 491 matches the Rfam family "Bacterial small subunit ribosomal RNA", at positions 1 to 502 of the family's 1533-position model. The record is from Rfam by way of RNAcentral. Lineage: Eukaryota; Viridiplantae; Streptophyta; Magnoliopsida; Poales; Poaceae. RNAcentral also lists the same sequence under 1 other name.